Molecule: ribosomal RNA, 465 nt
Filed under: uncultured bacterium
Lineage: Bacteria
Description: partial 16S ribosomal RNA
Rfam family: Bacterial small subunit ribosomal RNA
Source: RNAcentral
CCUACGGGAGGCAGCAGUAGGGAAUCUUCCACAAUGGGCGAAAGCCUGAUGGAGCAACGCCGCGUGGGUGAAGAAGGUCUUCGGAUCGUAAAACCCUGUUGUUAGAGAAGAAAGUGCGUGAGAGUAACUGUUCACGUUUCGACGGUAUCUAACCAGAAAGCCACGGCUAACUACGUGCCAGCCGCCGCGGUAAUACGUAGGUGGCAAGCAUUAUCCUGAUUUAUUGGGCGUAAAGGGAACGCGGGCGGUCUUUUAAGUCUGAUGUGAAAGCCUUCGGCUUAACCGGGGUAGUGCAGUGGAAACUGGGAGACUUGAGUGCAGAAGAGGAGAGUGGAACUCCAUGUGUAGCGGUGAAAUGCGUAGAUAUAUGGAAGAACACCAGUGGCGAAGGCGGCUCUCUGGUCUGUAACUGACGCUGAGGUUCGAAAGCGUGGGUAGCAAACAGGAUUAGAUACCCGAGUAGUC